Molecule: long non-coding RNA, 650 nt
Organism: Phyllostomus hastatus (greater spear-nosed bat)
Lineage: Eukaryota; Metazoa; Chordata; Mammalia; Chiroptera; Phyllostomidae
Exons: 2
Source: RefSeq, a predicted model, not a curated record
CUUCCUGCUCCAUCCACGGCUGCUCCAGCCACGGCACCCGAGGCUGCAGCCUGGGACUCGCGGCGUCGCUGUCGAACCGCAGGAUCUCCGAGUCGUCCACGUAGAUGACGACGAUGUACCGGUACUGUCCGCGGCCGGGAAGUGUCCUGCUCUCUGUACCUGAUGUCACUUGAACUUGGUGUGAUCACCUUAACCCUGCACCUGUUACCCCUUUUACAUCAUGGAGACAGUUGUGUUGUGCUGACUGACCACCUGCUGCUUCCUAGGAAUGAUUUACAGGAAACUCCUAUUGAUGCUGCUGCUUUAAGUUGGUUACAGAGGGAUGUUAUCUGAGAGAUGACCAGGGACAUUAGCGAGCAGAACAUCCACUAACUUCCAUGGUGGACAUAAGUGAGAGCUCUCAUCGACUGGAGGUAAAAUCUGCCCAGCAAGCUGAACUCAGUGCUCUAACUCAGGUUUAUUACCUGGAGGAAGAUCAUGGUUCUGAAUGAUGGUUGUUUGCAGUGCAGUUGUGAUUCUGAUGUAGCUGUAGGGUCAUGAAAGCACUCCAUUUAUCUUCAUAGCCAUCUUGACUGGAAACCAAGAUUUUUAAAACUGUUGAUUCAAGGAAGAUGAUUUAGUAAAAGUAAUAUUUUUCAAUCCUUCAACCA